CUGCGCCGCGAAGCUCCCAAUUCAACCAGACAGAGCUUCUGUUUUUGUGUAUAAACUCGAAAUCCUCUUCAUCAACACAAUACACCACAUCCACACAAUACACCACAUCCUUCAUAUAGCCUAGUCGUUAUUAUCGUAAUGCAAUCUCUAGAUUGAGUGUGUGUAUGUGCGUGUGUGUACGUGUGAGAUAGAGUGCCCGUGUGUUUGCUUGAAUGUGCUGUUUCUGUAUCACGUACAUGUGUGUGUUUAGAGUGAGCUGAUUCAGUGUCAGUGUGUGGACAUGAGUUAGACAGGUAGAUCAGUAUGAUAAAAUGGGCGCGCGCACUCUCGGACAAACGAGCGAAGUAUCGUAAUGGGUUCAGCAGGUGGAGCCCUAAUUCAGUAAACUGGUUCAGUUUACUGUUCCUGAAAUGAGAUGAACGUGAGAUUGACAGAGCCGCUCAAAAACAGCUCCGCUUCAAGUUAGCUUCAACAAUGCGAUAGUUAGACAGAUGAAGUCAACAAGUCUCGCUUACUUUUUAGUCUUGUCUUCAAUUAUAGACGCGCAUCGCUGAGGCGUGUGUCAGUGUUUGUGUGAGAGAGAAGUUAACCAUCUUUUUUAGAGUUGUCAAGAUAUUUCAUUUGCCUGUAUCAACAACCUUUUUGUCAAGUGUGCUGUUGGACCAUUCAAGAGGAACACAUGAAUCGCAAAAUUGGUGCACAUGUUGCUCACUUGUUGCAUUUUAUUCGCUAAUUAAUAUCAGUGUGGAAGACUUCAUUCGUCAAGAUGGUAGAAAACGGAUCGCAAAAGUGUCAAAUAGCCUAGUGACUGAGGUAGGUUACUUAUUAUUUUGUCCACUCUUGUAUUUUGUACAAUUUGAAUUUGCAAUAUCAUCUUGAAUCCUUGGUUUACAUUUUAAUGGAAGAAUUGGGGCGAUGUUUUAGCGCGUGUGAAAUGUCAACGAGCUUUUGCAUUUACACACGUUGUUGAUAAUGCAUGUAUACCUGUUGCGUUGUCUUGUGCUUCAGAAUUAACUCGAAAGUGAUGAUGCACCUCAAAACGCGCUCAGUGCUGAAUGUUGUAAAAUUCAUGAUUGUUUUUCCUUACAUAACAGAUGGACCUAUAGAAUCUGGAACUGAAAUAGAGACAGAUGGACCUGAAAUAAGUUUUUCGACAGUGACAGCCACAGACACCCUGCAUCAAUAGACACACGGAUCAGCAGACACUCAGAUCAACAGACACUCAGAUCAACAGACACACGGGUCAACAGACACUCAGACAUGCAGAUCUACAGACACACGGAUCAACAGACACUCAGACGUGCAGAUCAACAGGCACUCUGAUCAACAGAGACACGGAUCAACAGGCACUCUGAUCAACAGACACACUGAUCAACAGACACUUAGACAGACAUAUCAACAGACACUCAGAUCAACAGAGAAGUUCAUAUCAUUGUUGUUUCCCCCUCUAUUCUUAAAACACAUUGUGGAUCUUAUGAUUUAAAGUUAUGAGUAGCUUUCAGCAUACCUUUACUAUAUCGGGCCCAUAUUCACAAAGUGUCUCAGAAUAGGGCUACUGAUCUAGGAUCAGUUUAGCCUUUUAAAUCAUAAUGAAUAAAAUGGAGGACCUGAUUUGUGGCCUCCGGGCCUUGAGUCACUGAUCUGAAGUACAUGAGUGUUAUUCAGAUAGUUACAAAUGUUAUACGUGUCUCAGUGUGGUUAUAAAGUAUCCUUUGGCUAGCCUUGUCCUAUUCCUUCCCUUCUCUUUGAUGUCAUAGUGAUACUCUUUAGGUCUCUUCAAGGUGUGUGUGUGUGUGUGUGUGUGUGUGUGCGCCCCCCACCAUUUCCUCUGAAAACACACUCUACAUGCUAUUCUGCUGCCUCUGGGUAAUUCCCGUAGCUGUUUUUCUUUUCAAAGAUGAAAGGAAAUGG
Molecule: long non-coding RNA, 1911 nt
Filed under: Oncorhynchus kisutch (coho salmon)
Lineage: Eukaryota; Metazoa; Chordata; Actinopteri; Salmoniformes; Salmonidae
Description: lncRNA (ENSOKIG00005034562.1)
Source: RNAcentral